Molecule: ribosomal RNA, 576 nt
Filed under: uncultured bacterium
Lineage: Bacteria
Description: bacterial SSU rRNA
Rfam family: Bacterial small subunit ribosomal RNA
Source: RNAcentral
ACGGGUGAGUAAUACAUCGGAACAUGUCCUGUAGUGGGGGAUAGCCCGGCGAAAGCCGGAUUAAUACCGCAUACGAUCUAUGGAUGAAAGCGGGGGACCUUCGGGCCUCGCGCUAUAGGGUUGGCCGAUGGCUGAUUAGCUAGUUGGUGGGGUAAAGGCCUACCAAGGCGACGAUCAGUAGCUGGUCUGAGAGGACGACCAGCCACACUGGGACUGAGACACGGCCCAGACUCCUACGGGAGGCAGCAGUGGGGAAUUUUGGACAAUGGGCGAAAGCCUGAUCCAGCAAUGCCGCGUGUGUGAAGAAGGCCUUCGGGUUGUAAAGCACUUUUGUCCGGAAAGAAAUCCUUGGCUCUAAUACAGUCGGGGGAUGACGGUACCGGAAGAAUAAGCACCGGCUAACUACGUGCCAGCAGCCGCGGUAAUACGUAGGGUGCAAGCGUUAAUCGGAAUUACUGGGCGUAAAGCGUGCGCAGGCGGUUUGCUAAGACCGAUGUGAAAUCCCCGGGCUCAACCUGGGAACUGCAUUGGUGACUGGCAGGCUAGAGUAUGGCAGAGGGGGGUAGAAUUCCACGU